UACGGGGGGGGCAAGCGUUGUUCGGAAUUACUGGGCGUAAAGCGUGCGCAGGCGGUUUUGUAAGUCUGUCGUGAAAUCCCCGGGCUCAACCUGGGAAUUGCGAUGGAGACUGCAAGGCUAGAAUCUGGCAGAGGGGGGUAGAAUUCCACGUGUAGCAGUGAAAUGCGUAGAGAUGUGGAGGAACACCGAUGGCGAAGGCAGCCCCCUGGGUCAAGAUUGACGCUCAUGCACGAAAGCGUGGGGAGCAAACAGG
RNAcentral lists this ribosomal RNA (253 nucleotides) under uncultured bacterium. Its description in RNAcentral is "partial 16S ribosomal RNA". It matches the Rfam family "Bacterial small subunit ribosomal RNA", at positions 524 to 776 of the family's 1533-position model. The record is from RNAcentral.